GAUUAAGCCAUGCAUGUGUAAGUACGAGCAAUCUGUAUGCUCUGACCGUGGACGGCUCAUUAUAUCAGCUAUUAUUUGUUGGAUCUGUACACCCAGUUUAAUUGGAUAACUGUGGUAAUUCUAGAGCUAAUACAUGAUUCCUAUAGUCCCCGACUCCUUGUGUCAAAACUGGGAGGAAGGGUGCUUUUAUUAUUGAACUCAAACUGGUUUGCGCGUCUUUCGGGACGUUUAAGCAAAAACCCCUAUUAUGAUGACUCAGAAUAACUUCUUGCUGAGCGCACGGCCUUCGCGUCGGCGCCGCUUCUUUCAAGUGUCUGCCUUAUCAGCUUUCGAUUGUAAGUUACACGCUUACAAUGGCUAUAACGGGUAACGGGGAAUCAGGGUUCGAUUCCGGAGAGGGAGCCUGAGAAACGGCUACCACUUCCAAGGAAGGCAGCAGGCACGCAAAUUACCCACUCCCGGCUCGGGGAGGUAGUGACGAAAAAUAACGAUGCAAGACUCAUCUGAGCCUAUGUAAUCGGAAUGAGAACACUUUAAAUCCUUUAUCUAGUAUCCAUUGGAGGGCAAGUCUGGUGCCAGCAGCCGCGGUAAUUCCAGCUCCAAUAGCAUAUACCAAUGUUGCUGCGGUUAAAAAGCUCGUAGUUGGGUUUCGAGAAGAGCUUUGUGAGGUCCGCCUUACCGAGAGGUGGCGGACUUUAAUACAAAUGCCUCUGGAAAUUGGGACGCGCGUAGCCUCCCUCGUCCGGGCGGCCGUCACCUCUGUUUCGGGUGGGGUUUCAUCCCCUCGYGAUUCAAGUGYAUGCCGUUUUCCGGCGUGCGGAGUGCGCCGCCCCUGUGCCUUCCCCUUCGGGUUUGCUCUUGAUCGAGUGUCCCGGGUGGUCGGCGUGUUUACUUUGAAUAAAUUAGAGUGCUCAAAACAGGAAGAAUAUGACGCCUGUAUAGAGUUGCAUGGAAUAAUGGAACAGGACCCGGGCUCCGACCGUUUUGUCCAGUUUGGAGGAGCCUGGGUAAUGAUUAAAAGAGACUGCCGGGGGCAUCUGUACUGCAGCGCGAGAGGUGAAAUUCUAUGACCGUUGCAUGACAAACAACAGCGAAAGCAUUUGCCAAGAAUGUCUUCAUUAAUCAAGAACGAAAGUUAGAGGUUCGAAGGCGAUCAGAUACCGCCCUAGUUCUAACCAUAAACUAUGCUAACCAGCAAUCCGCCAGUGUUAUACCAAUGACCUGUGCGGGCAACUUCCGGGAAACCAAAGUUUUUGAGUUUCGGGGGAAGUAUGGUUGCAAAUCUGAAACUUAAAGGAAUUGACGGAAGGGCACCACCAGGAGUGGAGCCUGCGGCUUAAUUUGACUCAACACGGGAAAACUCACCAGGCCCGGACACUGGAAGGAUUGACAGAUUGAGAGCUCUUUCUCGAUUCAGUGGUUGGUGGUGCAUGGCCGUUCUUAGUUGGUGGAGUGAUUUGUCUGGUUAAUUCCGAUAACGAACGAGACUCUGGCCUACUAAAUAGUCGACGGAUUACCUGCGUAAGUCCGAUCGAGUUACUUCUUCUUAGAGGGAUAAGUGGUAUAAUCUAGCCACAUGAGAUUGAGCAAUAACAGGUCUGUGAUGCCCUUAGAUGUUCUGGGCCGCACGCGCGCUACACUGAAGUGAGCAGCGUGACUUUCCCCUCCGAGAGGAGAUGGGUAACCAUCAAAUCCCUUCCUGAUAGGGCUUGGGGUCUGUAACUAUUUCCCAUAAACGAGGAAUUCCCAGUAAGCGCAGGUCAAGAGCUUGCGUUGACUAAGUCCCUGCCCUUUGUACACACCGCCCGUCGCUACUACCGAUUGAAUGGUUUAGUGAGGACUUUGGACUGUCGCUCGAAUGAACUCUAAGGGUUAAUUCCCGCGUUCUUAGGGCCCGACGGAAAGAUGUCCAAACUUGAUCAUUUAGAGGAAGUAAAAGUCG
This 1942-nucleotide ribosomal RNA is filed under the name Allogalathea elegans. RNAcentral describes it as "SSU rRNA". The record is from RNAcentral. Lineage: Eukaryota; Metazoa; Arthropoda; Malacostraca; Decapoda; Galatheidae.